UGGGGAAUUUUGGACAAUGGGCGCAAGCCUGAUCCAGCCAUGCCGCGUGCGGGAAGAAGGCCUUCGGGUUGUAAACCGCUUUUGUCAGGGAAGAAAUCUUCUGAGUUAAUACCUCGGGAGGAUGACGGUACCUGAAGAAUAAGCACCGGCUAACUACGUGCCAGCAGCCGCGGUAAUACGUAGGGUGCAAGCGUUAAUCGGAAUUACUGGGCGUAAAGCGUGCGCAGGCGGUUUUGUAAGACAGAGGUGAAAUCCCCGGGCUCAACCUGGGAACUGCCUUUGUGACUGCAAGGCUUGAGUGCGGCAGAGGGGGAUGGAAUUCCGCGUGUAGCAGUGAAAUGCGUAGAUAUGCGGAGGAACACCGAUGGCGAAGGCAAUCCCCUGGGCCUGCACUGACGCUCAUGCACGAAAGCGUGGGGAGCAAACAGGAUUAGAUACCCUGGUAGUCCACGCCCUAAACGAUGUCAACUGGUUGUUGGGAAGGUUCCUUCUCAGUAACGUAGCUAACGCGUGAAG
Molecule: ribosomal RNA, 516 nt
Filed under: uncultured bacterium
Lineage: Bacteria
Description: partial 16S ribosomal RNA
Rfam family: Bacterial small subunit ribosomal RNA
Source: RNAcentral